Molecule: ribosomal RNA, 301 nt
Filed under: uncultured bacterium
Lineage: Bacteria
Description: partial 16S ribosomal RNA
Rfam family: Bacterial small subunit ribosomal RNA
Source: RNAcentral
CAGUAGCCGCGGGAAUACGUAGGGUGCGAGCGUUAAUCGGAAUUACUGGGCGUAAAGCGUGCGCAGGCGGUGCUGCAAGACCGAUGUGAAAGCCCCGGGCUUAACCUGGGAACUGCAUUGGUGACUGCAGCGCUGGAGUAUGGCAGAGGGGGGUGGAAUUCCACGUGUAGCAGUGAAAUGCGUAGAGAUGUGGAGGAACACCGAUGGCGAAGGCAGCCCCCUGGGCCAAUACUGACGCUCAUGCACGAAAGCGUGGGGAGCAAACAGGAUUAGAUACCCCUGUAGUCCCUGUCUCUUAUAC